Molecule: ribosomal RNA, 313 nt
Filed under: uncultured bacterium
Lineage: Bacteria
Description: bacterial SSU rRNA
Rfam family: Bacterial small subunit ribosomal RNA
Source: RNAcentral
GAUAAACGCUGGCGGCGCACAUAAGACAUGCAAGUCGAACGGACUUAACCAUUAGUUUACUAUUGGAGCGGUUAGUGGCGGACUGGUGAGUAACACGUGAGCAACCUGCCUCUCAGAGAGGGAUAACAGUUGGAAACGAUUGAUAAUACCUCAUGACAUGUUUUUGCCGCAUGACGAAAACAUCAAAGAUUUAUCGCUGAGAGAUGGGCUCGCGUCCGAUUAGGUAGAUGGUGAGGCAACGGCUCACCAUGCCGACGAUCGGUAGCCGGACUGAGAGGUCGAUCGGCCACAUUGGGACUGAGACACGGCCCAG